RNAcentral lists this unclassified non-coding RNA (619 nucleotides) under Hevea brasiliensis (rubber tree). Lineage: Eukaryota; Viridiplantae; Streptophyta; Magnoliopsida; Malpighiales; Euphorbiaceae. The record is from RNAcentral.
GAAAAUUUGAUUAACACUAACACAUUUGGUUUAAACUGUAGCAAAAAAAAUCAUCAUGAAUUCAAAGUUUAGAUAUAUAAUUUUUACUUGUUUUUCUUUUAUCCGUGGGAUCAAAAAUUGAUGAAGCGCAGGUAGAUCAAACUCACCAAAAUCCUGCGGAGGCGAAAACUUAUUAACUUGAUCCAAUUUCUUCUACGCUAUUUCACCAAAAUGCUGCGGAGAAUUAGAGAGAAAAUUAGUAAAUUCACCCAAUUUCUUCUACGCUCAUGAAAAAAUACACCUGAAAGCUGCAGCAAAAACAACAUUCACCAUAGAUUCAAAGUUUCGAUAUCAAAUUGAAGUACAGGUAGAUCAAACUUACUAAAAUGCUGCGCAGAAUUCGAGAGAAAAUUAGUAAAUUCACCAAAUUCUUCUACGCCCAUGAAAAAAUACACCUGAAAACAAAAUUGCUGCGGAUAAUUCGAGAGAAAAUUAGUAAAUUCACCAAAUUCUUCUACGCCCAUGAAAAAAUACACCUGAAAACAAAAUUGCUGCGGAUAAUUCGAGAGAAAAUUAGUAAAUUCACCAAAUUCUUCUACGCCCAUGAAAAAAUACACCUGAAAACAAAAUUGCUGCGGAU